AUACGGAGGGUGCAAGCGUUAAUCGGAAUUACUGGGCGUAAAGCGUACGUAGGCGGUUAUUUAAGUCAGAUGUGAAAGCCCCGGGCUUAACUUGGGUACUGCAUUUGAAACUGGGUAACUAGAGUUUAGUAGAGGGGAGUGGAAUUUCAGGUGUAGCGGUGAAAUGCGUAGAGAUCUGAAGGAACACCAGUGGCGAAGGCGACUCCCUGGACUAAAACUGACGCUGAGGUACGAAAGCGUGGGUAGCAAACAGGAUUAGAAACCCUAGUAGUCC
This 274-nucleotide ribosomal RNA is filed under the name uncultured bacterium. RNAcentral describes it as "partial 16S ribosomal RNA". It matches the Rfam family "Bacterial small subunit ribosomal RNA", at positions 523 to 796 of the family's 1533-position model. The record is from RNAcentral.